CCUACGGGAGGCAGCAGUGGGGAAUAUUGGACAAUGGGCGAAAGCCUGAUCCAGCAAUGCCGCGUGAGUGAUGAAGGCCUUCGGGUCGUAAAGCUCUUUUACCAGGGAUGAUAAUGACAGUACCUGGAGAAUAAGCUCCGGCUAACUCCGUGCCAGCAGCCGCGGUAAUACGGAGGGAGCUAGCGUUGUUCGGAAUUACUGGGCGUAAAGAGUACGUAGGCGGUUAUUCAAGUCAGAGGUGAAAGCCCGGGGCUCAACCCCGGAACUGCCUUUGAAACUAGAUAACUAGAGUCUUGGAGAGGUUAGUGGAAUUCCGAGUGUAGAGGUGAAAUUCGUAGAUAUUCGGAAGAACACCAGUGGCGAAGGCGACUAACUGGACAAGUACUGACGCUGAGGUACGAAAGCGUGGGGAGCAAACAGGAUUAGAUACCCUGGUAGUCCACGCCGUAAACGAUGAUAACUAGUUGUUCGGUCACUUGGUGACUGAGUGACGCAGCUAACGCAUUAAGUUAUCCGCCUGGGGAGUACGGUCGCAAGAUUAAAACUCAAAUGAAUUGACGGCUGAGACGUUGCGAGNGACACAGGAGAG
Molecule: ribosomal RNA, 589 nt
Filed under: uncultured bacterium
Lineage: Bacteria
Description: bacterial SSU rRNA
Rfam family: Bacterial small subunit ribosomal RNA
Source: RNAcentral